UACGUAGGUGGCAAGCGUUAUCCGGAUUUAUUGGGCGUAAAGGGAACGCAGGCGGUCUUUUAAGUCUGAUGUGAAAGCCUUCGGCUUAACCGGAGUAGUGCAUUGGAAACUGGGAGACUUGAGUGCAGAAGGGAGAGUGGAACUCCAUGUGUAGCGGUGAAAUGCGUAGAUAUAUGGAAGAACACCAGUGGCGAAAGCGGCUCUCUGGUCUGUAACUGACGCUGAGGUUCGAAAGCGUGGGUAGCAAACAGG
This 252-nucleotide ribosomal RNA is filed under the name uncultured bacterium. RNAcentral describes it as "partial 16S ribosomal RNA". It matches the Rfam family "Bacterial small subunit ribosomal RNA", at positions 524 to 776 of the family's 1533-position model. The record is from RNAcentral.